AAUUGGAGGAGAUGCUCAUUUUGAUGAAGAUGAGACGCUCAAACAAUGCUUCUUCUGGCGUAGCUACUCCCAGAGUGUGACACCACAGCAAAGUCUCAUAACAAACUUCUAGCCCAACGCCCCCAUCAACAUCAACGCUGCUUAUGAAAGCCGACAAUCAGACAGUGUCUUAUUCUUUAAAGAUCAGAGAGUGUGGGCUUUCAGUGGCUCUGAUCCUGUAUCUGGCUAUCCUAAAAGUCUUACCAGUUUUGGACUGCCAGGAAACGUGAGGAAAAUCGAUGCAGCGCUCUAUGAUGAGGAAUCUGGCAAGACUCUGUUCUUUGUAGGAAAUUAUUACUACAGUUAUGAUGAGGUCAAAAGGACUAUGGACCAGGGAUUCCCCAAGCAGUUGGAUCAGACCUUCCCUGGCCUGACCAGUAAGGUGACUGCAACUUUCCAGUACAGAGCUUUUGCUUACAUCUACAGUGGACCCUACAUGUUUAAGUACAGCCUGAGUACAGGGAGGUUGUAUUGUGCGCUGAGGAACAGCUACUUCUUGUGCUGCACUAACUUCUAGGCCAGUUUACUAGCUAAGUUGUUUAUGUAGCCACUCUGAAUGAAUGGACACUAACAGUGUUCAAAUAGUACAUUUACAUAUUUCUAUUAUUCUAAAUAUUAUGAGACUUUUCAGUCAUCCUGGAAAUCGGAUAUUUAGUAAAAAGUUAAAUGCCUCUGAUUAGUAUUGAAACAUUUUGAGGACAGCAAGUCCAUUACUAUAACAUUAUUAUUGAUCAUAUCAAUGUCUAGUGAGUGCACUGUUUUUGCCAUUAUUGAAUUUCAUGCUUAUAGUUAAGUAUGUGAUGCUAAAGUUCCUUCUCAUUUGUCCUCUAGUUCAGUGGUUCCCAAAUGUAGCAGUGGCGCAAUGGAUAAGACUAUGCCUCUGAUGUGAGAGAGGUGUGUGAUCUCUGACAUGUAUUAUAUAAUUAUAAGUUGAUUUGGAUAAAGGUGUCAACUAAAUGAAUAAAUAUCAUGGGUGCGUGAGCUGCCUCUAAGGGGUGCGCAACCGGAAAAAUGUAGUAGCAGUGUAACUACAACAGUUGUUUUUUGUGGAUAUUUUCAUGAAAUAAAAAAUUUAAU
Molecule: long non-coding RNA, 1116 nt
Organism: Micropterus dolomieu (smallmouth bass)
Lineage: Eukaryota; Metazoa; Chordata; Actinopteri; Centrarchiformes; Centrarchidae
Exons: 5
Source: RefSeq, a predicted model, not a curated record